RNAcentral lists this ribosomal RNA (826 nucleotides) under Stachybotrys chartarum. RNAcentral's name for it is "eukaryotic LSU rRNA". It matches the Rfam family "Eukaryotic large subunit ribosomal RNA", at positions 74 to 935 of the family's 3401-position model. The record is from RNAcentral. RNAcentral also lists the same sequence under 1 other name. Lineage: Eukaryota; Fungi; Ascomycota; Sordariomycetes; Hypocreales; Stachybotryaceae.
AUUGCCUUAGUAACGGCGAGUGAAGCGGCAACAGCUCAAAUUUGAAAUCUGGCCCCAGGCCCGAGUUGUAAUUUGCAGAGGAUGCUUUUGGCGCGGUGCCUUCCGAGUUCCCUGGAACGGGACGCCAUAGAGGGUGAGAGCCCCGUCUGGUUGGAUACCAAGCCUUUGUAAAGCUCCUUCGACGAGUCGAGUAGUUUGGGAAUGCUGCUCUAAAUGGGAGGUAUAUGUCUUCUAAAGCUAAAUACCGGCCAGAGACCGAUAGCGCACAAGUAGAGUGAUCGAAAGAUGAAAAGCACUUUGGAAAGAGAGUUAAACAGCACGUGAAAUUGUUAAAAGGGAAGCGUUUAUGACCAGACUUGGGCCGGUUAAUCAUCCAGCGUUCUCGCUGGUGCACUUUGCCGGUCCAGGCCAGCAUCAGUUCGCUGCGGGGGAUAAAGGCGUCGGGAAUGUGGCUCCUCUGGAGUGUUAUAGCCCUUCGCGCAAUACCCUGCGGUGGACUGAGGUUCGCGCAUCUGCAAGGAUGCUGGCGUAAUGGUCAUCAACGACCCGUCUUGAAACACGGACCAAGGAGUCGUCUUCGUAUGCGAGUGUUCGGGUGUAAAACCCCUACGCGUAAUGAAAGUGAACGCAGGUGAGAGCUUCGGCGCAUCAUCGACCGAUCCUGAUGUUCUCGGAUGGAUUUGAGUAAGAGCAUACGGGGCCGGACCCGAAAGAAGGUGAACUAUGCCUGUAUAGGGUGAAGCCAGAGGAAACUCUGGUGGAGGCUCGCAGCGGUUCUGACGUGCAAAUCGAUCGUCAAAUAUGGGCAUGGGGGCGAAAGACUAAU